GACGAACGCUGGCGGCGUGCUUAACACAUGCAAGUCGAACGGAAAGGCCCUGCGUUUGUGGGGUGCUCGAGUGGCGAACGGGUGAGUAACACGUGAGUAACCUGCCCUUGACUUUGGGAUAACUUCAGGAAACUGGGGCUAAUACCGGAUAGGAGCUCCUGCUGCAUUGUGGGGGUUGGAAAGUUUCGGCGGUUGGGGAUGGACGCGCGGCUUAUCAGCUUGUUGGUGGGGGAGUGGCUUACCAAGGCGUUGACGGGUAGCCGGCCUGAGAGGGUGAACGGCGACAUUGGGACUGAGAUACGGACCAGACUCGUACGGGAGGCAGCAGUGGGGAAUAUUGCACAAUGGGCGGAAGCCUGAUGCAGCAACGCCGCGUGCGGGAUGACGGCCUUCGGGUUGUAAACCGCUUUCGCCUGUGACGAAGCGUGAGUGACGGUAAUGGGUAAAGAAGCACCGGCUAACUACGUG
RNAcentral lists this ribosomal RNA (468 nucleotides) under uncultured bacterium. Its description in RNAcentral is "partial 16S ribosomal RNA". It matches the Rfam family "Bacterial small subunit ribosomal RNA", at positions 28 to 507 of the family's 1533-position model. The record is from RNAcentral.